Long non-coding RNA from Galeopterus variegatus (Sunda flying lemur), 592 nucleotides. RefSeq lists it as uncharacterized. The transcript has 2 exons. NCBI's taxonomy places the organism in Eukaryota, Metazoa, Chordata, Mammalia, Dermoptera, Cynocephalidae. The record is from RefSeq and is a predicted model, not a curated record.
CUGACGCAGAGGCCUGGGGAAAAGUGGUGGACUGAGAGGUGUCUGUGUCCUCCGGUGCUGGCACCAGAAGUCAGCAGUGGCGGCCCAGGAUGUAGGCGUGAGGUGCGCGGAGCCCAGGGAGACGGCGAGGCUCAUCCACGCGUCCAGACACAGGCUGUGCUCCACGGUGCAGCCAACACAGUGACAACUGCACUAUCGCCCCCUUUCUUCUUUUUCAAUGAGAAUCUUGAAACAUAGAAUUUUCUGGAAUCCCUGUUUGCAGUGAGUGAGUCGUGUGUUCCAUGCAUCCCUGGGUAGCCGAGCUCAUCCCGUCUGCAGGCACGGCCUGUCUUGUCCCGGCCUGAGCUGUGUUUUCAGACAAAAUGGCAUUUAAACUCUGAAUUUUCUCUCCAGAAAAUGACAUCACAAAAUUGUAGCCCUCUGAAGAGGCAACCAUGGAGCAGGCAGUGAAAUUACGCAGAAAUAGAAUUAUUACUGGUGGUGUCAAUUAUAAUUUAAAAAGAUUGUUAUUUCCUGGAUAUUAUUGAUACUUUCUAAAAUUUAUUAUUUCUUUUCUCAUUCUAAAUAAAUAUUCACUUUGUGCCUCACUUUA